GUAUAAUGGGUCAGCGACUUAUAUUCAGUGGCAAGCUUAACCGUAUAGGGUAGGCGUAGCGAAAGCGAGUCUUAAUAGGGCGUUUAGUCGCUGGGUAUAGACCCGAAACCGGGCGAUCUAUCCAUGAGCAGGUUGAAGGUUAGGUAACACUGACUGGAGGACCGAACCCACUCCCGUUGAAAAGGUAGGGGAUGACUUGUGGAUCGGAGUGAAAGGCUAAUCAAGCUCGGAGAUAGCUGGUUCUCCUCGAAAGCUAUUUAGGUAGCGCCUCAUGUAUCACUCUGGGGGGUAGAGCACUGUUUCGGCUAGGGGGUCAUCCCGACUUACCAAACCGAUGCAAACUCCGAAUACCCAGAAGUGCCGAGCAUGGGAGACACACGGCGGGUGCUAACGUCCGUCGUGAAAAGGGAAACAACCCAGACCGCCAGCUAAGGUCCCAAAGUUGUGGUUAAGUGGUAAACGAUGUGGGAAGGCUUAGACAGCUAGGAGGUUGGCUUAGAAGCAGCCAUCCUUUAAAGAAAGCGUAAUAGCUCACUAGUCGAGUCGGCCUGCGCGGAAGAUGUAACGGGGCUCAAACCACACACCGAAGCUGCGGGUGUCACGUAAGUGACGCGGUAGAGGAGCGUUCUGUAAGCCUGUGAAGGUGAGUUGAGAAGCUUGCUGGAGGUAUCAGAAGUGCGAAUGCUGACAUGAGUAACGACAAUGGGUGUGAAAAACACCCACGCCGAAAGACCAAGGGUUCCUGCGCAACGUUAAUCGACGCAGGGUUAGUCGGUUCCUAAGGCGAGGCUGAAAAGCGUAGUCGAUGGGAAACAGGUUAAUAUUCCUGUACUUCUGGUUACUGCGAUGGAGGGACGGAGAAGGCUAGGCCAGCUUGGCGUUGGUUGUCCAAGUUUAAGGUGGUAGGCUGAAAUCUUAGGUAAAUCCGGGGUUUCAAGGCCGAGAGCUGAUGACGAGUCGUCUUUUAGAUGACGAAGUGGUUGAUGCCAUGCUUCCAAGAAAAGCUUCUAAGCUUCAGGUAACCAGGAACCGUACCCCAAACCGACACAGGUGGUCGGGUAGAGAAUACCAAGGCGCUUGAGAGAACUCGGGUGAAGGAACUAGGCAAAAUGGCACCGUAACUUCGGGAGAAGGUGCGCCGGCUAGGGUGAAGGAUUUACUCCGUAAGCUCUGGCUGGUCGAAGAUACCAGGCCGCUGCGACUGUUUAUUAAAAACACAGCACUCUGCAAACACGAAAGUGGACGUAUAGGGUGUGACGCCUGCCCGGUGCCGGAAGGUUAAUUGAUGGGGUUAGCGCAAGCGAAGCUCUUGAUCGAAGCCCCGGUAAACGGCGGCCGUAACUAUAACGGUCCUAAGGUAGCGAAAUUCCUUGUCGGGUAAGUUCCGACCUGCACGAAUGGCGUAACGAUGGCGGCGCUGUCUCCACCCGAGACUCAGUGAAAUUGAAAUCGCUGUGAAGAUGCAGUGUAUCCGCGGCUAGACGGAAAGACCCCGUGAACCUUUACUGUAGCUUUGCACUGGACUUUGAGCCUGCUUGUGUAGGAUAGGUGGGAGGCUUUGAAGCGUGGACGCCAGUUCGCGUGGAGCCAUCCUUGAAAUACCACCCUGGCAUGCUUGAGGUUCUAACUCUGGUCCGUAAUCCGGAUCGAGGACAGUGUAUGGUGGGCAGUUUGACUGGGGCGGUCUCCUCCUAAAGAGUAACGGAGGAGUACGAAGGUGCGCUCAGACCGGUCGGAAAUCGGUCGCAGAGUAUAAAGGCAAAAGCGCGCUUGACUGCGAGACAGACACGUCGAGCAGGUACGAAAGUAGGUCUUAGUGAUCCGGUGGUUCUGUAUGGAAGGGCCAUCGCUCAACGGAUAAAAGGUACUCCGGGGAUAACAGGCUGAUACCGCCCAAGAGUUCAUAUCGACGGCGGUGUUUGGCACCUCGAUGUCGGCUCAUCACAUCCUGGGGCUGAAGCCGGUCCCAAGGGUAUGGCUGUUCGCCAUUUAAAGUGGUACGCGAGCUGGGUUUAGAACGUCGUGAGACAGUUCGGUCCCUAUCUGCCGUGGACGUUUGAGAUUUGAGAGGGGCUGCUCCUAGUACGAGAGGACCGGAGUGGACGAACCUCUGGUGUUCCGGUUGUCACGCCAGUGGCAUUGCCGGGUAGCUAUGUUCGGAAAAGAUAACCGCUGAAAGCAUCUAAGCGGGAAACUUGCCUCAAGAUGAGAUCUCACUGGGAACUUGAUUCCCCUGAAGGGCCGUCGAAGACUACGACGUUGAUAGGCUGGGUGUGUAAGCGUUGUGAGGCGUUGAGCUAACCAGUACUAAUUGCCCGUGAGGCUUGACCA
RNAcentral lists this ribosomal RNA (2331 nucleotides) under Pseudomonas aeruginosa. RNAcentral describes it as "partial 23S ribosomal RNA". It matches the Rfam family "Bacterial large subunit ribosomal RNA", at positions 610 to 2925 of the family's 2925-position model. The record is from RNAcentral. Lineage: Bacteria; Pseudomonadati; Pseudomonadota; Gammaproteobacteria; Pseudomonadales; Pseudomonadaceae.